Molecule: ribosomal RNA, 292 nt
Filed under: uncultured bacterium
Lineage: Bacteria
Description: partial 16S ribosomal RNA
Rfam family: Bacterial small subunit ribosomal RNA
Source: RNAcentral
GUGCCAGCAGCCGCGGUAAUACGUAGGGUGCGAGCGUUAAUCGGAAUUACUGGGCGUAAAGCGUGCGCAGGCGGUUUGUUAAGACCGAUGUGAAAUCCCCGGGCUCAACCUGGGAACUGCAUUGGUGACUGGCAAGCUAGAGUAUGGCAGAGGGGGGUAGAAUUCCACGUGUAGCAGUGAAAUGCGUAGAGAUGUGGAGGAAUACCGAUGGCGAAGGCAGCCCCCUGGGCCAAUACUGACGCUCAUGCACGAAAGCGUGGGGAGCAAACAGGAUUAGAUACCCGUGUAGUCC